Molecule: ribosomal RNA, 264 nt
Filed under: uncultured bacterium
Lineage: Bacteria
Description: partial 16S ribosomal RNA
Rfam family: Bacterial small subunit ribosomal RNA
Source: RNAcentral
GAUGAGUGAUCUACCAGACAGCGGCGGACGGGUGAGUAACGCGUGGGCAACCUGCCCUAUACAAAGGGAUAGCCACUGGAAACGGUGAUUAAUACCUUAUAAAGCUACUAAAACACAUGUUUUGGUAGCCAAAGCUCCGGCGGUAUAGGAUGGGCCCGCGUUUGAUUAGCUAGUUGGUGAGGUAACGGCUCACCAAGGCGACGAUCAAUAGCCGACCUGAGAGGGUGAUCGGCCACACUGGAACUGAGACACGGUCCAGACUCC